This is a long non-coding RNA of Grus americana (Whooping crane), 516 nucleotides long. RefSeq lists it as uncharacterized. The transcript is spliced from 3 exons. The record is from RefSeq and is a predicted model, not a curated record. Lineage: Eukaryota; Metazoa; Chordata; Aves; Gruiformes; Gruidae.
GUGUGUGUGUCUUGGGCAUGGAGCUGCUCUGUCCAGGGGUGUCGAGUCAGGGUUAGGUGGAAUAGCAAUGCGCGUGUGUGGUUAGUGGGUCGAUAUGCCCACUCUGGAAUUGUUUGCCCCUCUCCUGGCAUCUGGGUGACUUGUGUAAUAACCUGGUUUCUUUUUUCAGGUGUGAACAUGCUGGAUGCACACUGAAGAGUGGCAGAGGAGGGGAGAAGAGCGCUGUAACAAGGCACGAAUCACUGCGUGAACAGGAUAUCCACACCAGAGCAAUCUUAAGUGAGGUGGUGGUCAGGCCUCGGCACGGCAGACCGAAGAAUCCGACUCCGAGCAGCUGAGGAAAAGGGAUGGGCGAGAGGAAGGCAUUUUCAAGGAGGGCUUCGUCGCAGAGGAGGUCGACGCAGGGCGGCACGUCGGCGACUGGCGACGCUCUGUCUCGCGAGGGACGAAGAGCAACCCGGCGGAUGGGGGAGCGUCCCGGUUAAAUGACCUGUUCCCCAUGAGGAGGGAAUCUGG